UAUAACUAGGCCGAGGAAAAGAAACUAACCAGGAUUCCCCCAGUAACGGCGAGUGAAGCGGGAGAAGCCCAUGCUGCCAACCGCUCCGGCGGGUUGUGCCAGGCGUGCCUGGUGAGGUCCCGGGGAGAAGUCCUUUGGAACAAGGUAUCAGAGAGGGUGACAAUCCCGUCUGUGCCUCGGGGUCCUCGCGUGAAGGCCGUGCUAAUGGAGUCGAGUUGCUUGGGAUUGCAGCUCAAAGUCGGUGGUAAAUUCCAUCGAAGGCUAAAUACGGGUGGGAGACCGAUAGCGAACAAGUACUGUGAAGGAAAGAUGAAAAGAACUUUGAAAAGAGAGUUAAAGAGUGCCUGAAAUUGCUGAGAGGGAACCGAAGGUGAUCAGUGGGGGCCGCUGCCAUUUUUCGUGUUCCGACSUCGGAGCACGCCCUGUGGCAGGGGCCCGCUCCGCGCCGUCGCGUCCGGCCGUAAGCUUGGGGCCGGGGGUGGUGGGGCGGAGGAAAU
Molecule: ribosomal RNA, 497 nt
Filed under: Pseudochattonella verruculosa
Lineage: Eukaryota; Dictyochophyceae; Florenciellales
Description: eukaryotic LSU rRNA
Rfam family: Eukaryotic large subunit ribosomal RNA
Source: RNAcentral